AGGGAGAGAGAGCAGUGAAACGCCUUGCCCCGCCCACCAUGUUUUGCUCUUGGUUCGCGCUGUAUGAACUCUGCGGGGUGCCUCCUCUCUUCCGCUCGCUCGCUCCUCUUUCCCGAGUAGCAGUCGCGCAUUUUGCUUUUCUACAGUAUUUGUGAGUUUCUUGUUCGGACAUGGGGGGGCCAGCGCUCACUAGGAGAGGGGUAGGAGAGAGAGGGACCGGGCAGCGGACACGUUGUCUACGCAUUUCUCUCCAUUGUGCGCACUCGAAAAUCACGCGAUCCCUCUCUCUCUGUUUUCCCUUGGGUGAGUUUUUUUUUUUCUGGACACUUGUACGACAGCAGGUGCGAGCAUAAAAAAAACUCUAUGAAACACAGCCACGGAUGUACAAGUGGACACACAUGGUGCCACGAAGCACGCGACCAUCGGUAUGCGUGUGUGCGUGCUGAGCUCAUUCUCGAGGAAGACUUUGCACCACGGCAAAGAUGGUCUGCGCCAACGAUGGAUAUCUGUACCUCACACCAUUCCGUCGUGCACUUCGGUGGUGAAGGGGGCGUGGGUCGACUUGAUGCUACUGCUUUCUUGUGGUUUCCUGCCUGUUUCUGCCGCAGUGCGCAGCAAUCUUCCCCUCUCCCCCUCGGUCUCCUCCGCUGCGGUAUGCGUCUGUCUUUUUCGGUGUGCGCGCGCGAUUCGCAG
RNAcentral lists this unclassified non-coding RNA (693 nucleotides) under Leishmania donovani. RNAcentral describes it as "gene:unknown". The record is from RNAcentral. Lineage: Eukaryota; Euglenozoa; Kinetoplastea; Trypanosomatida; Trypanosomatidae.